Molecule: long non-coding RNA, 4046 nt
Filed under: Homo sapiens (human)
Lineage: Eukaryota; Metazoa; Chordata; Mammalia; Primates; Hominidae
Description: HSALNT0076617
Source: RNAcentral
GGAUAACAAAUUCUCAUACUUUAUUUCAAUUGCAGGUCUUCCACUUGUCAUCUAUAGCCUGGGACACAUGACUAUUCAGGACACUGGAGAACAGAGGGAAACACCUGGCUUGUGGUCUCCAAUCAGUCUUUUCAUUCAUUUAAGGAAAUCAUCUGCUCCAGCCUACUGCUAUGUAACAGCGGGCUGCGCUGAAUCUUUAGAUCCAGACUCAACAUGGCAGUCCUAUUCCUGGCGGAGCUCUCUGUCCAGUGAGUACGCUUGUAGGAAACAAGUGAAAUCCCAGGAAGACAGUGAAAGAGAGUGGGGAGCAGUUAAUACAGAUAAAUUACUUCAGAGACCAAGUGGCAGAAUAGUGCUACAGCGUUAAUAAUUUACUACCAUGACAUGAAGUCAUGGUAGUAAUUGUGCUUCUUCUCACCAUUGUCCUAAGAUUAAGGGGUAAACGCCCUUGUGUGUCUUUGCUGAACUAGGAAGCUCCUGAAGCAGCCGCCUUCCCCCUGUCCCUCAGAAACUGGAACCGGAUUAAGGGGCAAACGCCCUUGUGUGUCUUUGCUGGCCUAGGAAGCUCUUGAAGCAGCCGCCCUCCCCCUGCUCCUCAGAAACUCAAAAUGGCUCCCUCCGAUGGCUCGACUCCGGCUUAUCCCGGCAGCCUCCACCAACCUGCCCCCGAAAGGUAGUGUGAACUAGCCAGCCGGGCCCUUGCGUCUCCUCGCCAUGGCCAGGGCAGCCUGAUCCGCAGGGCUGGCAGAUGCAGGAGCCUCCCGCUCCUGCCUUUUCCCCGGGCGGGCGCACACCGGCCUGAAGUCGGGAGGCUGCGGCAGGAAAACAGCCAAGGGUCCAGGGCCAUGUGUCUGAGCGAGAGCGUGACUCCCAGGUGCACUCGCUGCGCUAGCCCUGCAGCCUCUGCAAGGAAGGCACCGCCCACGCGGCCCGCGCAGACUCCUGCUGCGUCCACUGGAUCCUGAGCGCCAUAGGUAGGGGCGGCCCACGCGUGGCCUUCAUUCUCCUCGGUCCGCCCGUGAGCACUGCUUAGCCCUUCAGUGCCACCGGAACGAACGUCUGGGCGCUUUGGAGCUGCAGAGGCCAAGGACGGCUGCAGCCCCAGGAUACAUGGCUAUGAAAGACAUUCAUCAUACUGUGGGCUAGCCUGAACCAGCCACUCUGGAGAGACCACUUGUCAAGGCACAAUGGAUACGAACUGAAUCUCAACAACCAGCAUCAACCAUCAAAAGAUAUGCAAGUAAAUGACCCUUCAAAAGAGGCCCUAGUCUUUGGGUCUCACAGUUGAGGCCAUAGACAUAAUGGAGCAGGGACAAACUAUCUCUGCAAUGCCCCAUCUGAAAUCUUGACCACAGAAUCCAUGAGCAUUAUAGAUGAUUGUUUCAUAGAACUAAAUUUUACAGUAAUUGGUUUUUCACCAUUCUUGACACUUCACCAUAAAAUUAAUUUAUGUGUAUAUAUUAGUAAGCUUUGUCUCACUAAGUAGAAUAAACCGUUUAGGUCCAUUUUAGUCAGAAAAUUCUUCUAAACUGGUCUUAGCAGUAGAGACACCAAUAAGAAAUAAGCUCUGUUUUCUUAUAUAAAAGGAUUUAUGGUUUAGAACCACCAAAAAUUUGCCCAUCUCUGAAUCACAUAAGCUGAUAAAUGGAACUAUUAAAAAUCUUAACCUUUGUCAUAUCUUGUGAUGGUUCUGGUGGACACAUCCUUUGUAUUUCAGUUUUUUCUGAUAUUACCAACCUCCUCUAGUUUCGAUUAGUGGAAAUCAAGUGCAGUACAGUUGUACUUGAUUACUUAGAUCAAGAUAAUUCCAUCUUAGAAAAAGACUCCGUCUUAUAUUUCAUAGGGCACUUAUGCCACCAAGGACUGGAUGUUUUGCCUAAUAAAUGAAGACUGCUUCCAACCAGAUAAGGACAUAGCGAAGCACACUCCUCCACUAUCAGUCCUCACCAGAGGACUCUGUGGCCAUAAAAAGUACAGGACUUCACCAUCUCAAGACAGCUGUCUUAACAGACACUGUCUUGCUGUCACUCGUGAUAAGUACCCAACAUCUGCCACCAAAGACUCUGUCCACAUCAAACACUCUGCCUUGUAAGACUGAUAGACUACCCGGGCCAGACAAAGAUAUUCUUUUUGUCUACAUUGCUCUCCCUGGACUGGUUUGCUAACCCUUUUCCCAUUCCUUUUCUCUUGAUGUUAAAUGUUAAUUUGUCGUGGAAUGUUUAAUCUACUUACAACAUUUAUAUAUUGAUCAACUAUACUAUUGUGUGUGUUUUGCAAUAUUGACUGACUUGUGGAGUGGCUUGAGCUCAUGUAUCCAUAGCUCUGACUACUGAGUGAAUGGGAAGUACUAAAGAGAAUUGCUUCCUUGGAAACUCCAUGUAGCUUGUGGCUUUUGUAAUUGAAACAGCAUCAACACAAGUCUGACCUUGUAGAAAGACACAAACAUGCAUGGACCUAGAGAAUAGUCACAGUUCAGGACCCUGAAAUCAUGACCUUCCUGGGAGAGAAUGCCUGCCUUUGGAAAGUAAAUUUUCCAUAACCAGAGAGAAAGAAGAAGGAAAUGGGUAGUUGAUACUGCUUUCUUACCUCCGUGGGUAAUCUUACUUUUCUUAAUGUAUUUUGGGUGGGAAAGUGAAGAUAUGCACAAACUACUUUACCAUGUAUCUUGUACAAAGAGCAUAGUGGAAAGAGCAUAGUGGAAUUUUUAAGGUAGAGAUGAGUAAUCUUUCUCUUUCAUGUUACAGCUAUGUGAUUUAGGGCAACUUAUUUGACAUUUUGAAAGUUACUUUACAUAUUUGUGCAAUGAGGUCAGUAGACUUAUUUAUAGAGGUGCUAUUGAGUAAUAAAUGAUAUUGUAAAUGUAAAAUGUUUAGCACGAUACCAAACCAGACUCAUUAUAAAACAGAAGAAUGAAAUAGUUGCAGAUGAUAAUCUAAGAUGCACUCCUUCCCUCUUCCCUUUGCAUGUUUCUCUUUCCCUAGUAGGUCUUAUCUAGUCUCAUGUCUCCAAGAAUUAUCUAUAUGUCAAAUUUAUCUGCACCUCAGAAUUACCAGGCAAAAAUAAGAAAAUAUAAUGGAAACAAAGAUGAUACAAUCUUAGCUGAAUAGGGAAAUAGGUGAAGAGGAAAAGAAACAUGGACAUAAAAAUUAUAGGGUCUUUAUCAUCUGGAGAAUGGGGUUUGGAAAAGCAGGUUUCUGCACGUGAAAAAUAUAUCAUUUUAAAUUACGAAGCAGGAGUUUCAAAAGGCACAGUUAGUUUGUUUGGAAAAGAGAAAUGUCAUCUUAGGGUAGGAAAAGGAAACAAAUCACUGUAAGUAUAAAAUUGAAGUGGAAAUAUUCUUUGGUAAGGGAGAAUAGUGGUGGAGUGAAAUGGCAGUUUGAAGCCUGGUAGAUUUAAUACUGGUGAUCUCCUGGAAGCUGAUAAACAGUUUAAACUCACAGUGCUCAGCUAAGCCUUGAAGCAUUGGAUGAUACUCUAGUGUGGGGUUAAAGUUUCUUUCCACUUGGCUUACAUGGCUGAGAACCAAUAUCAGUAGGCAGAAACCAGGAUCUGGCCAUAGAACUUUGUGAACUGGCACAGUGCAUUUAUGAGGUAGCAUACGGAAGCAGUGUUGUAAGCCUUGUGCAGAUGACUGGCCAAGUAGGGUGAUCUUACUUGAGGAGAAUCUAUAGAUUAUAGUAAUUUGGCACAGUAGUUUAACCUGAUUAUAUACUUGUUUUAUCAGGAGUAAAGACAUUUUUUUGUAUCACUUGACUUCUAGUAAAACAGAUGUAAUUUCUAAAGCACAACAGAGAAAUAUGGCAGAUUGUCACAUACUUUUUAUUUCUUGUGAUCUUAGGGUGAUAUAAAAUUUAAAAUGUAGGUAACAUAAAAAUGAUUUUUAAGUUUUUCUUAAUAAAUUUUACAAACUAUAGUUUCUGUGUAACUAUAUUUCAUACUUCAUUUUUCAUUUCUACAAUCUUUCUGACACUCCUUUUUCUGUUAAUCGUUGUGUAUAAUAAAAGAAAAAACAUUUUCCUUUUCCAGUGAAUGUUGACAUUUUUCUU